UCCUACGGGGGGCAGCAGUGGGGAAUUUUCCGCAAUGGGCGCAAGCCUGACGGAGCAACGCCGCGUGAGGGAGGAAUGUCUGUGGAUUGUAAACCUCUUUUCUCUGUGAAGAAGAUCUGACGGUAGCAGAGGAAUCAGCAUCGGCUAACUCCGUGCCAGCAGCCGCGGUAAGACGGAGGAUGCAAGCGUUAUCCGGAAUUAUUGGGCGUAAAGCGUCCGUAGGCGGUUAAUUAAGUCAGUUGUUAAAGACUGCAGCUCAACUGUGGGAGAGCAACUGAAACUGGUUGACUAGAGUAUGGUAGGGGUAGAGGGAAUUCCUAGUGUAGCGGUGAAAUGCGUAGAUAUUAGGAAGAACACCAGUGGCGAAGGCGCUCUACUGGGCCAUAACUGACGCUGAUGGACGAAAGCUAGGGGAGCGAAAGGGAUUAGAUACCCCUGUAGUCCUAGCUGUAAACGAUGGAUACUAGGUGUUGUGCGUAUCGACCCGUGCAGUACCGAAGCAAACGCGUUAAGUAUCCCGCCUGGGGAGUACGCACGCAAGUGUGAAACUCAAAGGAAUUGACGG
This 565-nucleotide ribosomal RNA is filed under the name uncultured cyanobacterium. Its description in RNAcentral is "bacterial SSU rRNA". It matches the Rfam family "Bacterial small subunit ribosomal RNA", at positions 337 to 916 of the family's 1533-position model. Lineage: Bacteria; Bacillati; Cyanobacteriota. The record is from RNAcentral.